Molecule: ribosomal RNA, 301 nt
Filed under: uncultured bacterium
Lineage: Bacteria
Description: partial 16S ribosomal RNA
Rfam family: Bacterial small subunit ribosomal RNA
Source: RNAcentral
CAGCAGCCGCGGGAAUACGUAGGUGGCAAGCGUUGUCCGGAAUUAUUGGGCGUAAAGCGCGCGCAGGCGGAUAGGUCAGUCUGUCUUAAAAGUUCGGGGCUUAACCCCGUGAUGGGAUGGAAACUGCCAAUCUAGAGUAUCGGAGAGGAAAGUGGAAUUCCUAGUGUAGCGGUGAAAUGCGUAGAUAUUAGGAAGAACACCAGUGGCGAAGGCGACUUUCUGGACGAAAACUGACGCUGAGGCGCGAAAGCCAGGGGAGCGAACGGGAUUAGAUACCCGCGUAGUCCCUGUCUCUAUACAC